GCUCUUUAUUCAGUUGUUGCUGAGCAUGGAAGUUCCAUGAGUAAGGUACAUGCUCCAGCACGGCGCCUUUCUAGGCUAUAUCUUCAUGCUUGUAAAGAAAGUUCUCAACCAAGGAGAGCUAGUGCAGCUAGAAGUGCUGUUUCAGGGCUUGUUCUGGUUGCCAAGGCAUGUGGGAAUGAUGUCCCUAGGUUGACAUUUUGGCUAUCAAACUCUGUUGUGUUGAGAGCAAUUAUACACCAGGCAAUAGAUGACGACGAGCUAUCACUUUUUGGUAAAAAGAACACAGAGAUGAAUGGUGGUGGAAAGGGGAACAAGAUGAUGUCAUCUUCGCUAAAGUGGAAGCUAUCAUCUCCCAGAAGAAAGGGAAAUAAUAAAGUUAUUUGUGGAGAUUUAGGUGACUGGGAGGAUCCACAUGAAUUUAUAUCUGCCCUGGAAAAAGUUGAAGCUUGGAUCUUUUCCCGAAUUGUUGAGUCUAUAUGGUGGCAGACUCUUACUCCACGGAUGCAAUCCGCCACUACAAAAGCAAUUGAUAGAUUUAUUGGUUCUGGCUCAAAGAAAAAUCUUGAAAGGAUGUCAAGUUCAGGCGAUCAAGAUCAAGGAAACUUUUCAUUAGAACUUUGGAAGAAUGCGUUCAAGGAUGCCUGUGGGAGACUUUGUCCUCUUAGAGCUGGUGGGCAUGAGUGUGGCUGUUUGCCUGUGCUGGCCAGACUGAUAAUNCUAGAUUAGAUGUGGCAAUGUUCAAUGCCAUUCUUCGUGACUCUGCCGAUGAAAUCCCAACUGAUCCAAUGUCUGACCCUAUCAGUGAUUCAACAGUUCUUCCUAUUCCAGCUGGUAAAUCAAGCUUUGGGGCUGGAGCACAAUUGAAAAAUGCGAUUGGCAACUGGUCUAGAUGGCUGACUGACUUAUUUGGCAUGGAUGAUGACUCACUUGAAGAGGACAAUGA
RNAcentral lists this unclassified non-coding RNA (943 nucleotides) under Hevea brasiliensis (rubber tree). Lineage: Eukaryota; Viridiplantae; Streptophyta; Magnoliopsida; Malpighiales; Euphorbiaceae. The record is from RNAcentral.